GAUGAACGCUGGCGGCGUGCCUAAUACAUGCAAGUCGAGCGAACGGACGCGAAGCUUGCUUUUCUGAUGUUAGCGGCGGACGGGUGAGUAACACGUGGAUAACCUACCUAUAAGACUGGGAUAACUUCGGGAAACCGGAGCUAAUACCGGAUAAUAUUUUGAACCGCAUGGUUCAAAAGUGAGAGACGGUCUUGCUGUCACUUAUCGAUGGAUCCGCGCUGCAUUAGCUAGUUGGUAAGGUAACGGCUUACCAAGGCAACGAUGCAUAGCCGACCUGAGAGAGUGAUAGGCCACACUGGAACGGAGACACGGUCCAGACUCCUACGGGAGGGAGCAGUAGGGAAUCGUCCGCAAUGGUCGGAAGCCUGACGGAACGACGCCACGUGAGUGAUAGAGGUCUUCGGAUCGUAAAACUCGGUUAUUAGGUAAAAACAGAUGUGUAAGGAGCUGUGCACAGCUUGACGGUACCGAAUCAGAAAGCCACGGCUAACUACGUG
This 497-nucleotide ribosomal RNA is filed under the name uncultured bacterium. Its description in RNAcentral is "partial 16S ribosomal RNA". It matches the Rfam family "Bacterial small subunit ribosomal RNA", at positions 28 to 507 of the family's 1533-position model. The record is from RNAcentral.